ACACGUAGGUGGCAAGCGUUGUCCGGAAUUACUGGGUGUAAAGGGCGUGUAGGCGGGGAUGUAAGUCAGAUGUGAAGUACCACGGCUCAACCGUGGGGGUGCAUCUGAAACUAUGUCUCUUGAGUGCUGGAGAGGAAAGCGGAAUUCCUAGUGUAGCGGUGAAAUGCGUAGAUAUUAGGAGGAACACCAGUGGCGAAGGCGGCUUUCUGGACAGUAACUGACGCUGAGGCGCGAAAGCGUGGGGAGCAAACAGGAUUAGAUACCCUGGUAGUCCACGCCGUAAACGAUGGAUACUAGGUGUAGGAGGUAUCGACCCCUUCUGUGCCGGAGUUAACACAAUAAGUAUCCCACCUGGGGAGUACGGCCGCAAGGCUGAA
Molecule: ribosomal RNA, 377 nt
Filed under: uncultured bacterium
Lineage: Bacteria
Description: bacterial SSU rRNA
Rfam family: Bacterial small subunit ribosomal RNA
Source: RNAcentral